UGCACUCCAGCCUGGGUGAAAGAGCGAGACUCCGUCUCAAAAAAAAAAAAAGAAACGCUGUUGGGGGCAGGAGCCUGGAUCUCAACCCCUGCAAGGUGGAAAUCUGGCUUCCUCUCACCCAUACGAGCCUGCCAGAGGCAGGAGGCUGACGCCCCGGAGGGACCAGCUGACAUCGGCCUUGAGGGACCAGACUUCUCCAGGCCGGCAACCUUCUCCCAGCUUUGUGAGGUGGAGCCCAACCUCCAGACCAAGAGAGGCCUUCCUGACCUUCAACCCCAUCUCCAGAGCUCCCCAGAGCUGGUCUAGCCCCUCAUCUGACACACAGAGAAACGGAGACCAGGAACCUGACGCUGGUUUCCCUAGCCCAUGUGAGGACCCUGUAGACCAGCUACAUGCACACCCAGUCCAGCCGCCGGACAGCGUUCAGUGGGAAGAGAGCAGACCAUCGUCCACCCACAUUCCAGACUCCAACUGGCAGAGGGGAGGGGACGUUGGGGCUGCAGGGCCACCAAUGUGGACGGGACAGAGCCCCAGGGACAGCCUGUGCUGGGGACGUAUGGGGGCAGGAUCAGACCCCACAGUGCCUGCGGGCCACAAGGCCAAGACAGGAUCUGGUAAGUGACGAUUUGGAGGCUGGUCCUGAGGUGCAAGAGGGAGUGCCAGGGACAGAGAGGGCACCGGGGUGACUACAGUCCCUCCAGACUCACAUCUACCCGCACCUGUGGGUGGGGCCUUAUUUGCAUACAGGGUCUUUGCACACGUGGUUGGUUACAAUGAGGAUGCUGGAGGGGGUGGUCUGUGUCCCUGUUAACAACUCAUGUCCUUAAGAGAAAAGAGGAACGUGGACACCCACACAUCGGGAGACGGCCGCAUGGAGACGGAGCAGAGGCUGGAGUGACGCGGCCGCAGACCAAGGGCGCCUGGAGCCCCGGAAGCUGGGAGGGGCAGGAAGGGUCCUCCCCUGGAGCUACUCCUUGACCUCAGCUUCCUGUGGCCUCCAGGACAGGGACAGGCUGCUCUAAGCCACCCAGUUUGCAGCACUGCUGCGGCCGCCACGAGAAGCUCGUCCAGGGAGGAGGCUGCUCCAGCCCUGAGCCCCACGCGACUCCCGGAAAGGUGUACUGGCCAGACUCAGCGCCCUGAGGACGGGGUCGGAACCCAGCGCCCAGGAAGCUCCCCUCCCCCCGACCAAGGACCUCCCUCCAGGGUGUGCCCGGAGGAGGUCAAGACUCCACUGCCCUGAAGCAAACAAGGCGUCCAGCCCGAGCCAGGGUCACACGCCCAACAGGUAGGAUCCAGCAACCCCUGCGCAGCAGCCCCCGCCAUGCGAGGGAGGACCCGGAGUUGAGCGUGGCCCUGCCUGACAUCUGACCCCGCCGUCAGGAGCUCCACCAGGUCAGGGCUGCUCAGCUGACCCCACAGCCCCACCAGGCAUGGUCAGCACGGUGCCGAAUGCAGGCCUGGAAAGGGAAUAAAGGAGGCCCUGGGGAGGGGCCUUGGUGCUUCAUCCCAAGCCAACCCCGAAAGUGGAAGCCACAGGGCCAGGGGGACGUCGUGGCUGAGAUGCGAGCAGGGUGCCGGGCACCCCCAAGGCAGCACUGCUGUCCCUGAGAACAGAAGGAAGUCCAGGCCCAGAGUCAGAGCCAAGUGGAGUAGUGGUGGUUGCUGGCACUCAGUCCCGUACCCUUGGACAGAGCAAGAGUCCCAAGCCAGGAAUGUGAGGCCGAUGCCUUUUAGGAAGAAACCACAUCUGGGGAACCAGACCCCAGAUCCCAGAACCCAGACCUCAGAUCCCAGAUCCCAGAUCUCAGACCCCAGAUCCCAGACUU
RNAcentral lists this long non-coding RNA (1829 nucleotides) under Homo sapiens (human). Its description in RNAcentral is "HSALNT0395551". The record is from RNAcentral. Lineage: Eukaryota; Metazoa; Chordata; Mammalia; Primates; Hominidae.